This 429-nucleotide ribosomal RNA is filed under the name Bacteroidota bacterium. RNAcentral describes it as "Bacteroidetes bacterium partial 16S ribosomal RNA". It matches the Rfam family "Bacterial small subunit ribosomal RNA", at positions 355 to 776 of the family's 1533-position model. The record is from RNAcentral. Lineage: Bacteria; Pseudomonadati; Bacteroidota.
UAGGGAAUCUUCCGCAAUGGACGCAAGUCUGACGGAGCAACGCCGCGUGAGUGAAGAAGGAUUUCGGUUCGUAAAACUCUGUUGUUAGAGAAGAACAGCGCAUAGAGUAACUGUUAUGCGUGUGACGGUAUCUAACCAGAAAGCCACGGCUAACUACGUGCCAGCAGCCGCGGUAAUACGUAGGUGGCAAGCGUUGUCCGGAUUUAUUGGGCGUAAAGCGAGCGCAGGCGGUCAAUUAAGUCUGAUGUGAAAGCCCCCGGCUCAACCGGGAAGGGUCAUUGGAAACUGGUUGACUUGAGUGCAGAAGAGGAGAGUGGAAUUCCAUGUGUAGCGGUGAAAUGCGUAGAUAUAUGGUGGAACACCAGUGGCGAAGGCGACUCUCUAGUCUGUAACUGACGCUGAGGCUCGAAAGCGUGGGUAGCAAACAGG